Long non-coding RNA from Nyctereutes procyonoides (raccoon dog), 1099 nucleotides. RefSeq lists it as uncharacterized. The transcript is spliced from 3 exons. Lineage: Eukaryota; Metazoa; Chordata; Mammalia; Carnivora; Canidae. The record is from RefSeq and is a predicted model, not a curated record.
UCUCCAAACCCUGCUCCAGCGGGUCUGAAGGCUUGUUCCAGGUCCCUUCCCCUGCAGCUCAGGCCUGCCCCCUGCCCACCCAGGAGUCUGGAGUCGGGUUACGCCCGGGACUCGAUCCCACUGCCCUUCCACCCUCUCCUCAGGCUCCUGAGUCCCAGCUGGGGCAGAGGGAGAGGACGUCCUGGACCUGCGUCUGAGAGGCAGAUGGGGAAACAGGCCCCCGUGGAGCUAUGGUGCAGAAGGUGAACUGGAGAUGAUGGGACAGACUGAGGCCAUUUACAGCAUGGUUCUCCGAGGACGGUGCCUGCUGGAAGCGCAGACACUCAGGCCCCACCCCCAGAGACGCAGAACAAUCCUUAAGUCUGUGAGGACUAACUUGAAGGCUGAAGCCUAUAUGGAUCCAUCAAGCUUCCUAAGUCUUGGAUCUAUCUGAACUUAUCUUUUGGAAGGAGCGAAAAGAGACAGGAUUCAUUCCUGCCCCUCGUGGCUGCCCAAUGGCCCCCAAGCCUAUAUUGAAUCAUUAAGUUUUCCCCACAGAAACCUUUAAUAUAUCUGGGUUAAUACUUUGUUCUAGGAUUUCCUUUUUUUUUUUUCCCCAUAUGUCCUAUACUCCCCUCCCCUAUGCUUACCAAAUGUUCCCCAAAUUUCCCUUUGGUAUUUUCCUUGAGACUGCAUUGAGUUGGAAGUACUGGUUAAUGUAGCAUGAAUUGGCAUCUUUAGAGUGUUUGAGUCUUCUUCUCCAAAAACAAGAUAGAGCUUUCUAUUUUUCUUAACAUUGUUAUUUUUCCUGAAUCGGCCCUUGCCCAUAGAAGGCAUUCAGGCAGCUUUAAUGGGAAGAGGCUGUGAACUCCUUUGGGGAAGGGACUAGGGGAGCCCUACUCCAGAGCCAGUCUGUGUCCUUCCAAGAACAGCAGGUGGUGUCCCUGGGGCCCUGAUGAUCUGAAGGUUGAGUAGGGGGCCCAAGGGGGGCAGCCCAGGAAUUGGGGCCCAACAGGAGGUAUUCAAGGUUCCCAAAAUAAAAGCCCCCCUGCCCCCCCACCCCCCCAACUGUGUGCCACAGACUCACAGCAAGGCUGGGAGGUUGUGGGAACAGUAGGGU